Molecule: long non-coding RNA, 459 nt
Organism: Octopus bimaculoides (California two-spot octopus)
Lineage: Eukaryota; Metazoa; Mollusca; Cephalopoda; Octopoda; Octopodidae
Source: RefSeq, a predicted model, not a curated record
CUGACUCUAUGUGAUCUCAGACGUUAAGAGAUCAUUGGUGCCUGUUGAAUCUACAACAGAGCGGCCGACGCUUGAUUCUGUGGAAAACAUUAAGAAAUUAUUGGUGCCUGCUGAGCCAAAAAAAAUAAUCCUAGCUUAAUGCUAGGGAGGUUUAUCUUUAUGGACAUCAUUAUCACGACUUAAAAGGUGAAUGCAUAUUAAAGCGGAAAAACUGGAGAUGGUGAAGGAUGUUGAUAUUUUUUUCGUUUUAUGUCAAGUAAUGUUUUUUGUUCAAAACUGCCUGUCCUCCUCCUAAGUCCGGAAAAAAUAACUAACAUUAUGUAUUUAGAAACAAUUUGUAUUUCGGAACACACAUCUCAUAAAAUAGAAAUGACUCCCUAAAAGUAGAGAUGCUGAAGCUUCUGAAUAAAUUUGUUACUCUGCAUCAUACGAUGCGUCGAGUACUUAAUUGAAACGUGA